UUUUGUUUCACUUGCACUGAUUCAUUAUCAUGUGAGUGUGAUAUGAGUAUGAGGCUGCGAGGCAACAUGGAAAGACCAAAAUAGAAUUGAACAGGCCUUGUUUCAAACUGAGUCUCUGCUUCAGACUAUCAAGGCUAUAUUGAGCUCUGUCUACCUGCCCUCCAUCAUACCUUUCAUAGUCUGGGGUUUCCGGAUGUUUGUGACCUGAUCAAUAUUCCAGGUCUCCUUAUCUGCAUCAUUCAAAUGUAAAGGUCAUGAAUAAAAUCAUCUCCUGGUUCAUGUUGUCUCUCGAACCCACCACUGAACUUUACAGUUUCCAACAUCUUAUUGUUGCUCACUGGACUACACUGAUUAAAAGCAACAUGAACUGGCAGAAUCUAUUGGAUUUUAUGGGCCAUAUUUUGAGGUGGGAGAGGGUGACUCUGGAGUCUCUUUCAGUCCCAGCAUUGGCCAGUGAUUGCGAUGACACUACUGCUACUGAAGAACUGCCGGACAUCUGAUUAUUCUUCAGCUCUUAGAGACAGCUGAGGAGUGAAAUCCACAAGGGCAGUCAACAGAAUGAAUUAAUCCAUAUAAAAUCUCGGCGUGUUACUGGUGGAGAAGGCUUACCCCUGACUUUCUGGUUUGUGGAUUGGGCCACUACUACCCUGUGAAAAGCCUUGCCUUGACACUGAUAUUUUUGUGCCAUUGAGCAGGCAUGUAAAAUUAAAAUGUUACUCAAAUUUUCUCGUAUCUCGCCAUACUCAAACAAUUGCCUGGUAACAAAUUGGUUUGUACAUAGAACAUAGAACAGUACAGCACAGUACAGUCCCUUCAGCCCUCAAUGUUGUGCUGGCUUUUUAUCCUAC
Chiloscyllium plagiosum (whitespotted bambooshark) is the source of this 848-nucleotide non-coding RNA. The record is from RefSeq and is a predicted model, not a curated record. Lineage: Eukaryota; Metazoa; Chordata; Chondrichthyes; Orectolobiformes; Hemiscylliidae.